UACGUAGGGUGCAGGCGUUGAUCGGAAUUACUGGGCGUAAAGCGUGCGCAGGCGGUUUCUUAAGUCAGAUGUGAAAGCCCCGGGCUUAACCUGGGAACUGCGUUUGAAACUGGGAGACUUGAGUGUGGCAGAGGGGGGUGGAAUUCCACGUGUAGCAGUGAAAUGCGUAGAUAUGUGGAGGAACACCAAUGGCGAAGGCAGCUCUCUGGGACGGUACUGACGCUGAGACGCGAAAGCGUGGGGAGCAAACAGG
RNAcentral lists this ribosomal RNA (253 nucleotides) under uncultured bacterium. Its description in RNAcentral is "partial 16S ribosomal RNA". It matches the Rfam family "Bacterial small subunit ribosomal RNA", at positions 524 to 776 of the family's 1533-position model. The record is from RNAcentral.